Molecule: ribosomal RNA, 730 nt
Filed under: Formosa sp. OO-Y1-17
Lineage: Bacteria; Pseudomonadati; Bacteroidota; Flavobacteriia; Flavobacteriales; Flavobacteriaceae
Description: bacterial SSU rRNA
Rfam family: Bacterial small subunit ribosomal RNA
Source: RNAcentral
CAUGCAAGUCGAGGGGUAACAGAGAAAAGCUUGCUUUUUUGCUGACGACCGGCGCACGGGUGCGUAACGCGUAUGCAAUCUACCUUUUGCUAAGGGAUAGCCCAGAGAAAUUUGGAUUAAUACCUUAUAGUAUGAUGACUUGGCAUCAAGAUAUCAUUAAAGGUUACGGCAAAAGAUGAGCAUGCGUUCUAUUAGCUAGUUGGUGUGGUAACGGCAUACCAAGGCAACGAUAGAUAGGGGUCCUGAGAGGGAGAUCCCCCACACUGGUACUGAGACACGGACCAGACUCCUACGGGAGGCAGCAGUGAGGAAUAUUGGACAAUGGAGGCAACUCUGAUCCAGCCAUGCCGCGUGCAGGAAGACUGCCCUAUGGGUUGUAAACUGCUUUUAUACAGGAAGAAACACCUCUACGUGUAGAGAUUUGACGGUACUGUAAGAAUAAGGAUCGGCUAACUCCGUGCCAGCAGCCGCGGUAAUACGGAGGAUCCAAGCGUUAUCCGGAAUCAUUGGGUUUAAAGGGUCCGUAGGUGGAUAAUUAAGUCAGAGGUGAAAUCCUGCAGCUUAACUGUAGAAUUGCCUUUGAUACUGGUUGUCUUGAGUUGUUAUGAAGUGGUUAGAAUAUGUAGUGUAGCGGUGAAAUGCAUAGAUAUUACAUAGAAUACCAAUUGCGAAGGCAGAUCACUAAUAAUAUACUGACACUGAUGGACGAAACGUGGGGAGCGAACAGGAU